Myotis davidii is the source of this 1072-nucleotide long non-coding RNA. RefSeq lists it as uncharacterized. The record is from RefSeq and is a predicted model, not a curated record. The transcript is spliced from 3 exons. NCBI's taxonomy places the organism in Eukaryota, Metazoa, Chordata, Mammalia, Chiroptera, Vespertilionidae.
UCAGCACAGAGGCCCUGGCUCCCUCGUUGAUCUUCUAUCACUCAUUUUCAUUCCUUUGGGUGUUGCAACUUUUCAGGAGGCCUUGAUUAAAAUGAAAAUACUUGUCUGAGAGUUAGCUCACACUGGAAAGGAGCAGUGGCUCUCUGGGAGCAAGAUCUUGUGGGCUGGGGAACCAGGGGACUUCUAGAGUAGAGGAGCUAAAUGGGAUGGAGGCCCCCACGAUGAAUGCUGCCACCAUGUCCCUCAAUGCAACCCCGAGGGGCUCCCCUAUUCCUAAGUUGGGGAACAUCCUCCAUUCCACAGACCAGACCGACAGCAGUCCCAGCUCCCUUUCAGGCAGGGCACAGGACGCCUGCAGCCCCCUAGAGGCUGUGUCCCCAUCUUUGUGGGAGCAGACAGGCAGUAGCCCAAAGCUGGAGGUUUCAUUGAAUAUUUCUGACCCCCCUGAUGUUCCAGGUACCACACUGGUUGCUGGGACUACCUUCUGCCAGGAGGUGCAUGGAUGAGUAGGGAGAGGGCCCAUUAAGAGGCCACCAUAGCACAGCAGGGACUGAGAACCAAACCCCAAGAGCAGCCCGUCUUCCCUCAGAAGGGUGAUGUUCAGUAUACAUCUGGGCGAUGGCAUUACACGGCCUGACCUGCAAUCCAGCUCUGUGGCUGGGUUUGCCCUGUGGCUUGAGGCAAGCUGCUGACCUUCUCUAGUCUCCAUUUCCCUAUCUGUAAGACGUAAAUCCCUUGGCCUCACAGUGGACACUUAAUGUUAGUUCUCCCCUCAAGGUUGCUCUAAGGAUUUAUUCAAAAACAGCUGACAUCAAUGCAGAGGAAAAAUAAGCUACAAUAAGGAUUGAGGUGAGAGGUCAACAGAACAUACUACAGGGAGGAUGAGAUCCCUGAAGAGAGCCAAAGGACUGUGGGAACUCUCAGAAUAGGGGCACGAUUACGGCAGGGCCUUGAGGGAGCUUACCAGAUAUGUUCUUUCAAGAAACCCAAGAUCAAUCCCAGCCAAUGGCAAAGUGUCCCGUGGGGAGAACAGAGAAGCAAAGCCAAAUGUCUGUAUAAAAUGUUUAUUUUU